This 405-nucleotide ribosomal RNA is filed under the name uncultured bacterium. RNAcentral describes it as "bacterial SSU rRNA". It matches the Rfam family "Bacterial small subunit ribosomal RNA", at positions 354 to 776 of the family's 1533-position model. The record is from RNAcentral.
GUGGGGAAUAUUGGACAAUGGGCGAAAGCCUGAUCCAGCAAUGCCGCGUGAGUGAAGAAGGCCUUAGGGUUGUAAAACUCUUUCGCCGGUGAAGAUGAUGACUGUAGCCGGUAAAGAAGCCCCGGCUAACUCCGUGCCAGCAGCCGCGGUAAUACGGAGGGGGCUAGCGUUGUUCGGAUUUACUGGGCGUAAAGCGCGCGUAGGCGGUAUAUCAAGUUAGGCGUGAAAGCCCCGGGCUCAACCCGGGAACUGCGCUUAUUACUGAUAAACUAGAGUCCGGGAGAGGGUGGCGGAAUUCCCAGUGUAGAGGUGAAAUUCGUAGAUAUUGGGAAGAACACCAGUUGCGAAGGCGGCCACCUGGACCGGUACUGACGCUGAGGUGCGAAAGCGUGGGGAGCAAACAGG